This 100-nucleotide microRNA precursor is filed under the name Gossypium arboreum. Its description in RNAcentral is "MIR7502 microRNA precursor family". It matches the Rfam family "MIR7502 microRNA precursor family". The record is from Rfam by way of RNAcentral. Lineage: Eukaryota; Viridiplantae; Streptophyta; Magnoliopsida; Malvales; Malvaceae.
CGUUAAAAAUUUCAUCCAUUUUUACUGUUAAAAACUGAACUAGCUAACGAAAUAACUAGAGACCAAUUUUUAACAGUCAAAAUGGAUAGAAUUUUUAUCA